Long non-coding RNA from Oreochromis aureus, 1195 nucleotides. Lineage: Eukaryota; Metazoa; Chordata; Actinopteri; Cichliformes; Cichlidae. The record is from Ensembl.
UAUACAGAGUUCAUUCCGCCAUAAUAAAGGGAUUUCCGGAAGUGGGGUCAGAUGUUACCUUGGUUACAUGCGUUUUCUUUGGUGCAGGACGUCACCACUGUAUUAUCUAGGGUGACCAACCGUCCUCUUUUCCCCGGACAUGUCCACUUUUCACGUUCUGUCCGGGGCGUCCGGGGGGAUUUUCGAGAUUGAUAAAAAUGUCCGGGUUUUCCUAUAGUCCGACAGAGGACCCAUGUGUGUGACGUCAUCCCCGAACUGCUGUUUUGUGAGCGCUUAUUCUGCACUCACAGACGGGACAGACAGCGCACAGCAACGCGCCUAAUGAUGUUUAAAAGAUCCCAAAGCGCAAGUGCAUCUUUUCAGACGAACUGCAAUAGAAAUUUCCCUCAUACCAACCAUAGCUGGACUGGCCAUGGGCCCACUGGCGAUGCUCCCACAGAGGCCAGCAGGUGGAUGAGGGAAAGGGGAGGCAGGAGGAGGAGAGACCCGAGGUGGCCGCUGGUCCAAGUGUCAGGUGAACUGAACUUCAGAAACGCGGAGUUGGCGAGGCCGGUUCUCACAGCGACAGGCAGUUGUCUGAGAAAGAGAUGGACGAAAAGGAAUCCCCCGUCGUCGGAACCGAGCAAGGACAACAUGUUUUCCAUGAGUUCAAGAGCUGUGCCUCCGCCCAGCCCGGAGAGGGAGAGAAGUUUCUCGGCUCGCUCCGCACCGGUGAGGGUGUAUCGCCGCAGUAGUAGGUCCUUAAGGGCGACGUAUUUCCCUUGCGCGGACAUUUUUUAAGGAGAAGAUUGCUGUUUGGCUGAAUUGGUCCCAGUGUCCAAAGGUGCACAGAUGCAUCUACUAGGUGGCCAAGGAGUAUUACCAGUUCCCACCAGUAUCUAUUCUUUUCUCAUUAUGAGGUAUUGUGGAGGGGAAACAAAUUUAAUCGGUUUUGGAAUAAGUCUGUAACAUAACAAAAUGGGGAACAAGUAAAGCACACUAGCCCUAACCCUGUGUUCUCAGGGUAGAGAGAUUAUGAAGGAACAAUAAACACCACUGGCUAAAUAUUAUGUGUCACAUCAAUGUCUUUAUUCCAGAUUAAUUUAUCUUAAGUUUAAAAACAAGAAACGGGUAAUACCUGUGCAUGCGUGUGUGUGUGCGCGCGUGCGUGCGUGUGUAUAAUAUGCAUACUUUACAUGUUGUAUCCAAAUCCCAG